GAUGAACGCUGGCGGCGUGCCUAAUACAUGCAAGUCGAGCGAACGGACGAGAAGCUUGCUUCUCUGAUGUUAGCGGCGGACGGGUGAGUAACACGUGGAUAACCUACCUAUAAGACUGGGAUAACUUCGGGAAACCGGAGCUAAUACCGGAUAAUAUUUUGAACCACAUGGUUCAAAAGUGAAAGACGGUCUUGCUGUCACUUAUAGAUGGAUCCGCGCUGCAUUAGCUAGUUGGUAAGGUAACGGCUUACCAAGGCAACGAUGCAUAGCCGACCUGAGAGGGUGAUCGGCCACACUGGAACUGGGACACGGUCCAGACUCCUACGGGAGGCAGCAGUAGGGAAUCUUCCGCAAUGGGCGAAAGCCUGACGGAGCAACGCCGCGUGAGUGAUGACGGUCUUCGGAUCGUAAAACUCUGUUAUUAGGGAAGAACAGAUGUGUAAGUAACUGUGCACAUCUUGACGGUACCUAAUCAGAAAGCCACGGCUAACUACGUG
RNAcentral lists this ribosomal RNA (497 nucleotides) under uncultured bacterium. RNAcentral's name for it is "partial 16S ribosomal RNA". It matches the Rfam family "Bacterial small subunit ribosomal RNA", at positions 28 to 507 of the family's 1533-position model. The record is from RNAcentral.